Camellia sinensis is the source of this 784-nucleotide non-coding RNA. NCBI's taxonomy places the organism in Eukaryota, Viridiplantae, Streptophyta, Magnoliopsida, Ericales, Theaceae. The record is from RefSeq and is a predicted model, not a curated record.
UCUCUUUUGACUCUCCACCCUCUCUCGCUCGAAUCUGACUGGCCACAGUCGAAGCUCUUCAUAUGCAUCGCCAUUCUCACACUCUUCGGAGCUUCCAAAGCAAAUUAAUCAACCACAACACAUUGUAGCGAUCUUCUUCUUCUUCAUCUCUCUCUCUUUCUUCAAUCGCCGGAGCUUCCACGGCUGCUUAUUCCGCUGUCGGAUCAGUCUUCGUCGCCUUCAAAUCCGUCGAAAUUUCUGCUCAUUCUAGCAAUUUGAAACUCUCUAAUUUCCGACAUUGCUCUCCGAUUUCAAGCCGAGUCGGAUCUAUUUAGCUCUGACAUAGCCUUAACUCGCAUUGCGGAUCCCGAAGCUCCUUUGCUUCGUCUGGUAUUCGUUCUCUUUGUUUUGGCAAAUCCUCUGAUCACUGGUCGAAGCUCUCCUUUGGAUCACAAGCUUCGAAGUUUGCAAAAAAUGUGAGGGAUUCACAGCUUCAGGUCAAGCCCAAACCUAACUCAGCUAGCGUAUAAGGACUUCUGAGAUACUUAAUGUUGACAGUUAUUUCAUUGAUUUAAGGUGGUUGCAGGUAUGACCGGUAAAAAACAAAGGGUAGUAUGGAUAUUAGAAGUAAGCAAUGAUUUGUCUUAUCCUGCCUCCAUUCCCCUUCCCCUCUUACUCUGAUUAGAGAUUGGAAUAAGAUUUUUUUAUCAUGUGAGAACAAAGAAUUAUUGUUGCUACUGGUUAUUCACCUUUAUUUUUGCUUGUGGAUUUUAAUGCUGUUAAAACAUGUGGUUUCUCAUGCUAA